GCUGCACACUAUUAAAGCUCGGGGAGGAGGCCAGCCUUGGACUCCUGGGUGUCGGAAGUGUGCUACAUCAAUGGCAGGAUGUUCGCUAACACCAGUAGGGCUCACCUCUGUGACUGGAGAUUGAUAGUACUUGCUCCCACAUAU
This is a small nucleolar RNA of Tupaia belangeri (northern tree shrew), 144 nucleotides long. The record is from Ensembl. Lineage: Eukaryota; Metazoa; Chordata; Mammalia; Scandentia; Tupaiidae.